UGGGGAAUAUUGGACAAUGGGGGAAACCCUGAUCCAGCAAUGCCGCGUGUGCGAUGAAGGCCUGUGGGUUGUAAAGCACUUUCGUUGGGGAAGAAAUUCUCAGAGUUAAUAUCUUUGAGAGCUGACAUUACCCAAAGAAGAAGCACCGGCAAACUCUGUGCCAGCAGCCGCGGUAAUACAGAGGGUGCAAGCGUUAAUCGGAGUUACUGGGCGUAAAGGGCGCGUAGGCUGAUAUUUAAGUCGAUUGUGAAAUCCCUGGGCUUAACCUAGGAAUUGCAGUCGAUACUGAGUAUCUUGAGUAUGGUAGAGGAAAGUGGAAUUCUCGGUGUAGUGGUUAAAUACGUAGAUAUCGAGAAGAACACCAGUGGCGAAGGCGACUUUCUGGACCAAUACUGACGCUGAGGCGCGAAAGCGUGGGGAGCAAACAGG
This 429-nucleotide ribosomal RNA is filed under the name uncultured bacterium. RNAcentral describes it as "bacterial SSU rRNA". It matches the Rfam family "Bacterial small subunit ribosomal RNA", at positions 355 to 776 of the family's 1533-position model. The record is from RNAcentral.